This is an RNA transcript of Carcharodon carcharias (great white shark), 1778 nucleotides long. It is a transcript of the gene named CD276 antigen-like, with no coding region annotated. The transcript is spliced from 5 exons. The record is from RefSeq and is a predicted model, not a curated record. NCBI's taxonomy places the organism in Eukaryota, Metazoa, Chordata, Chondrichthyes, Lamniformes, Lamnidae.
UCACUGACACAAACAGUCCCUCUACCUCCGCGCUUGACAGCUCGGCUCAAAUCAAACAGGGAGCGAAAUACUGCUAUUCCGAGGUCGGGAACGGUGACACUCGAGAGGGUAAAGACGUCCUCAGAAAUUCUUGCUUCCAUCCUUGUUUGGCUGGAUUAAGUUUCCUCCGCGACGUUGCAAUCGGAACAAAUUGAAAGAUCGGAUAGACAGGGAGAGAGGGAACACCCCAGGACUCCGGAGAGAAGAGAAGUUUAUCAGCAAAGUGAAGCAGCAAUGAGAACCAAAUCUCAUUUCAAUUUUCUAAUUCUUUGGGGGCAACUCACAGUUGGUGCAGGAUUCAAAAUCCAGAUGGUUAAUGAGAAUCUAACGGCAAUCAUUAACCAAACUAUUAUGCUCGAAUGCAGCUUCACAAUAGUUGCAUCCUUAGAGAGCAUUGUUGUCACUUGGCAGCGUGCCAUGACAAAUGAGGUUGUCCACAGUUACUAUUAUGGAAAAGACCAGUUCAGCAAGCAAUCCCCUCGAUAUUCAGGCAGGACAAGCCUAUUCUCAGAGGAGUUUAAAAAUGGAAAUGCUUCAUUGAGACUAGCCAAUGUAAGCCCAGAGGACAAUGGAACAUAUCAGUGCUAUGUCAGUGGAAAUGAUAAAGGAAUAAUUUCUGUCAUACUUGCCGCAUACUACAAUGAGCCAACGCUGAUCAUCAAACAGAAACUGUUGAGUACCAUUUUAACAUUUGAGUCCUGUGGCUACCCAAAGGCUGAUAUUUCUUGGUACGGUGGAGACAACCUAGAUGCUUCCUCUUUGUCCAAAAGUUCCUACAAUCAAACUGCUGAUGGUCUGUAUACAGUCCGAAGCACCAUGGAAAUCAAUGUCACAGAAAGAAACCUAACCUAUACAUUUGUUUUAAGAAAUGCUGCUGUCAAUCAAAUUAUCUCACGGACACUUACUUUGUUAAUUAGAGGUAAGCUCUGCUGUUUUUUCACCAAUUUUCCGCCUCUCCUUCUCUCCUGAAGGGUCAAGGCCGCUAUUGUACUUGGGUGGGUUAUUGCUUACAUGUGCAUUACUGGUGGAUUUUAACGGGAAGAUCUACCGUGGAAACACCAGAGUUGCAACUGACUUUCUGUCUGCAAGGGUGCAGUUUCAGAGUGGGUCAGUAGGGCUUUUUGACCAAUUGUCAUUUGGUACUGCGGUCCCAGCUAUUAGCAGCUCGUUCAGCGUACAUUGAACGCAAGACUACAUAAUUCAGCUGCUCACUAGACAGAUUUAGGGAGCCACUGGAAGAACUGAGCUUUUCUUUUUAAUACCUUUUGGGGUGAAAAUUGGAUUUAGGCCCAAUGUGGGACACGGAGAUCAAAACGCAUGAUGGCCCGACUUAAUCUGCUCUCCAGCUUUUAUUGCAAUAAAACACGUUUUGACCGGCUGGAACCCCAGCUGCAUACGUGUAACUAGCUUGAUGUACAAGAAGUCUGGAGUUCUUAAAGAGCAGCUGCACUCGUACAACAGGAGAUGCCGUAACACUUUCAGGAAGGCAUGGCUGGAAGAUCGAGGGCAGCAGAUGGAGCAACCAGCCAGAGAGAGGGCUCCCGGGUUUGUUGGAUGUGGCUCUAAAGGCUUUGAUAAUGGGAGGUUAAAAGGACGAGCGGCUGGAUACCCUCAAAGCACCAACCUGAGAAGGAGAGGGUAGCCAGAGGAUUCAAGCCUGGAGUCAGACGUUUCCCAUGAUUAUUACAAAGUCAUCAUAAUUUUUGUUCUGGUGCCUACAUUCAAUUUAAUAACUCUGA